Molecule: long non-coding RNA, 5850 nt
Filed under: Carassius auratus (goldfish)
Lineage: Eukaryota; Metazoa; Chordata; Actinopteri; Cypriniformes; Cyprinidae
Description: lncRNA (ENSCARG00000041886.1)
Source: RNAcentral
AUGGAUGCUUCUGAAAAUAAAGAACCAGACCAGCACGUGGAGGCCCCUUAUAAUAGAACGGAAGAGGAGGAGCUUCAUCGAUCUGGUCGACAACGGAAACCCACGGAAAAGAUGCGUGUAUUUAAAGAAGGUGAGGCCCUGAAAAAGGAGAAAAGAUUGAUUCAGCUGUACGAACAAUGGAAGGUCCUGGCUCGCAACACAAGGGAAGAGCUAAAAACAGACAUUAGUGAGAGCCAACUGGUAGCGCUUAUUAAUACACUUGAGAAGGGAAGGGAUGAUGUCAUGCACGUCUACCUGGAAAUUAGAGAUCACAUCGCUCCAUCCAGUGACACUAGACGCAGAAUUGAUACUUGUGAAGCUGUGACAAAAGAUAUUUCGAAGAUAAUUUUUGACAGAAUGGCAUGCCUUGAGGACUUUGACAGAGAAAAUGUAAAACACAGUCUUCGUGAGAUACUCCAUCACGAUUAUGCUCGCUCUGUCUACGGAUCCACAGUCUCACACCCCACAUCAUCAAGGUCUACAGUUAUGUCCAUUGCAGCUAAGCGAGCGGAUGCAGCAGCUGAAUUAGCAGCCAAAGAAGCAGAAUACUCAAUGAUACAAGAGAUCGAAGCUCAGAAGUGUGAACUGGAAAAACUAAAGGUAGAGAAGGAUCUAAAAGCAGCUAGAGCCAGACUGCAGGCCUAUGAUCAAGAAAUGGCACAAGAAGACAGCAUUCAUUCUUCAGAUUCAAAUUUAGGGGAACCGCAGGAUGUGAGUGUAACGCCACAACAGCAUUUGAUUCCAUUUCCUAUUCAAUGUCCUACCAACAUCACAGCAACGCGUCCUACUGACUUCACAGCAAAAUCCUCACCUCCAAGAUCUGAUAUAUCUUAUCUCGCUCAAGCUGUCCAAGAUAGCAUAGCUCUGAACAGGCUGCCUGCAACAGAACCAUCUGUGUUCAACGGUGAUCCUAUCCAGUUCAUUGAGUGGAAGGCUGCAUUUGUGUCGCUCAUUGAUGGAAAGGCCAUUUCUUUUGCUGACAAGCUGCACUAUUUAAAAAGGUACGCUGGCGGUCCAGCUCGUAAGUCUCUUGAUGGUAUCUUCUACAGGAAUGAUAAUGAGGCUUAUAAUGAUGCGUGGAACAAGCUGAACCAACGGUAUGGACAGCCAUUUGCUAUACAAAAGGCAUUCAGGGAAAAACUAGCCAAAUGGCCUAAGAUUCAUCCUAGGGAUGCUGAAGGUUUCAGAGAAUUCUCUGACUUCUUGAAUGCUUGUCAUCAAGCUAUGCCUCAUGUCAAAGGGCUUGAAAUAUUAAAUGAUUGUGAUGAAAAUCAGAAACUUGUACACAAAUUACCAGAUUGGGCAGCAGCACGUUGGAACCGUCAGGUCACGCAGACACUGAUUGAGACUCAUGACUUUCCAAAGUUUAUAGAUUUUGUGACCUUCAUGUCGAUGGAAGCAGAGAUUUCUUGUAAUCCUGUAACCUCCUUCAGUGCUCUUCGUGCCUCUGACCCUACUUCAGAAAAACGGAACCUUAAGGACAGUAAAAGGAACAGGGCUAACGUCUUUCACAUUCAAACAGCCACAGAAAAUAAAGAAAAUGACGAAAACGAACAAAAGCCCACUAAAGGGAAUUUCAAAAUGUGUUUCUUCUGCAAGGACGACAAGCAUAAGAUUCACAACUGUCCUAAAUUUGUGGCAAAAUCAUUAGAAGAGAAACGGAAAUAUGUGAAGGAUAACAAACUCUGCUAUGGUUGCAUGAAACCAGGCCACAGCGCAAAAGACUGCCGUCACCGUCUGUCCUGUGACACCUGUAGAGGUAGACAUCCAACGUGUCUACAUGAUGAAAACUAUACAAAGAAAGUCAACUCUGCACCAGUUUCAAACCAAGGUGACACAGAGAUAACUACUUCUACAUCUCACAAAGUAGAGAAUAAUGAGCCAUCCACCAAUACUUCAAUGAUCGUGCCAGUGUGGGUGUCAACCGAGAGGAAUCCAGGCUCUGAAAAACUUGUUUAUGCUCUGCUUGACACCCAGAGUGAUACUGUGUUUGUCGACAGAGAGCUGAGCAUUAAGUUACAAGCUGACUCCUGUCCGGUGAGACUGAAGUUGACAACCAUGACUGCAAAGGAUCUUGUCAUGCCGAGUGAAAGGGUGUCAGGUCUUAAAGUAAGAGGGUACAGCUCCUCCGUUGUCCUCAACCUGCCCCCUGCCUACACUAAGGACUCCAUUCCAGUGAACCGUACUCAUAUCCCUACUUGUGACACAGCACGACAUUGGAAGCAUCUCUCUACAAUAGUGGAUAAAAUUCCAGCUCUGCAGGAUUGUGAGGUUGGUCUCCUGAUAGGCUACAACUGUCCAAAGGCUUUGGCACCAAAACAGGUGAUUUUAGGAGGAGACGAUGAACCUUAUGCAGUCCAUACAGACCUAGGAUGGAGCAUUGUUGGUCGCCUGUCUUCACACAAUGAAUCACAAAGCUUCAACACCAUCUGUCAUAGAGUCAGCAUAAAAGAGCUCCCUCCAGUGACCCCAGCAGAUGUUAUUAAAGUAUUGGAGUCUGACUUCAAAGACGCUGGUGAAGAUGAUAAAACUGUGUCACAGGAUGACAUCCUCUUUUUGACCAAACUGCAGCAAGGCAUAAGGAAGAAUGACCACGGGCAUUACGAGAUGCCUCUUCCCUUCAAAAGAAGACCUAAUUUCCUUAACAAUAAGCAGCUGGCCAUUGUAAGGCUCAAUCAUCUUAAAAGGAAAUUGCUGAAAGAUGAAAAGUACAAGGAACACAAUGUGAGGUUUAUGGAAGAGGUCAUUGAAAGAGGUGAUGCAGAAGAAGUGCAUGAUGAAGGAAAGGAUGGAGAGAAGUGGUACAUCCCUCAUCAUGGGGUGUACCACCCUAAGAAGCCAGACAAGCUCCGUGUUGUCUUCGACUGCUCCGCCAAGUACCAGGGAACCAGCCUCAAUGACCACUUGCUCCAAGGCCCAGAUUUAAUGAAUAAUCUGACUGGUGUUCUUGUAAGAUUCAGACAACAUCCCAUUGCCCUUAUGUGUGAUGUUGAAAAGAUGUUUCACCAAUUUCACGUGGAAGAAGCAGAUCGAAACUACCUCCGUUUUCUCUGGUGGAAAAAUGGAGACUUAGCUUUACACCCACAUGAAUACCGCAUGAAGGUCCAUCUUUUUGGUGCAACCUCAUCACCUGGAUGCGCCAACUAUGGUCUGAAACAUCUUGCUAAGGAGAAUGAGGGUAUGUAUCCUCUUGGCUCUAAAUUCAUCACAAAAGACUUUUAUGUAGAUGACGGUGUCACCAGUGUAGUCAGCACAGAAGAAGCUAUCCAGGUAGCAAGAGAAGCUCGACAACUGUGUGCCUCAGGCGGUCUUAGACUGCACAAAUUUAUUUCAAAUGACAAAGUUGUCCUGGAUAGCAUUCCAAUUUCUGAACGAGCUGUUGAAGUAAAGGCGCUUGACCUCAGCUUCGAAGACACACCUUUAGAGAGAGCUUUAGGGAUCCACUGGCACAUUGAUUCUGACAACUUCAGAUUCUCUGUUGACCUCAAAGACCAGCCAGCAACACGCCGUGGCAUACUAUCCACAGUUGCAUUUCUGUAUGAUCCACUGGGCUUUAUUGCUCCUUUCCUGCUCAGUGGAAAACUAGUGCUUCAGGAAAUGUGCAGAAACGGAACAGGCUGGGAUGACCCCCUUCCUAAAGAAUUGCAGCCUAGCUGGGAGCAUUGGAAAGCAGAUCUUGUGAACUUGGAAAAGAUCAGUAUACCCCGCUGCUAUGUGCCUGCAAACUUUGGAAAGGUCAUCAAAAGGGAACUUCAUCACUUCUCUGAUGCGAGCAACAGCGGAUAUGGCCAGUGUACCUAUUUGAGACUCACAAGCAAAGAAGGAAAUAUCCAUUGUGCCCUGGUCAUCGGUAAAUCCAGAGUUGCUCCCAUUAAGGUCCAGACCAUCCCCAGGCUCGAAUUGACAGCUGCUGUCAUCUCAGUUGCCAUGAGCAAUAUGCUUAAACGGGAGCUACAAUAUGCAGACAUAGAAGAGCACUUCUGGACCGACUCCCAAGUGGUUUUGGGAUACAUAAACAACGAAGCACGCCGUUUUCACACAUUUGUGGCGAACAGAGUGCAAAAGAUACAUCUCAGCACUACUCCUCAACAGUGGAGAUAUGUUCCCACUAAUGAAAACCCUGCUGACCAUGCGUCGAGAGGUUUAAACGCUGGUGAGAUUCUUACAUCUAAUUGGUUGACAGGGCCAGGAUUCUUAUGGAAGAAGGAUAUACCUCCUGUUGCAGAUAUUGACACAGCACUAACGAUUGGAGAUCCUGAAGUGAGACAGGCUCAGACACUGAGUGCACAAGCAACAGAAGUCAGCCUCUCAGACCGCUUGUCAAAGCUGUCUUCGUGGUCUGGAGCUGUCCAAGCUGUGGCUCGCCUCAUUCGACGAGCCAAAGGGGACAAAUCCAGCAGCCACAGUACGGUAGCUGAACGAGAAGAUGCUAAACGCAUCAUCAUUAAAGAUUUACAAAGAAACACCCAUCCAGAGGAUAUCAAGUUAUUGAGCAAGGGGACCCAGCUGUCACCUGGCAGCAAGCUGUAUCAUCUUGAUGCCUUCCUGGAUCAAGAAGGAGUACUCAAGGUAGGAGGAAGACUUUGUGAUGCAUCUUUACCCAACUCAAUCAAACACCCAGUGAUCAUUCCUAAAGAUCACCACAUAACGAAGAUGAUCAUCUCUCAAUGUCAUGAGAAUGUCAAGCACCAAGGAAAGGGUCUCACAAUUAAUGAGAUCAGAUCACAAGGCUACUGGAUUCCAGGAAUUAGCAGAGCAGUAGCAUCCCAUGUGCAUCACUGUGUGACAUGUCGGAAGCUCAGGAGACCCACAGAAGAACAAAGAAUGGCCGACCUCCCUUCAGAGCGUACGAAUCCAUCCCCACCGUUUACGUACUGUGGCAUGGACUGCUUUGGUCCCUUUAUCACUAAACACGGUCGGAAGGAUCAUAAAAGGUACGGCCUCCUCUUCACGUGUUUCAGCUCCAGAGCUAUUCAUAUAGAAAUGCUAGAUGACAUGUCUACAGAUGCUUUCAUCAAUGGCUUACGCUGUUUCAUUGCAUUGCGGGGAGCAGUGCGCCAAAUCAAGUGUGACCAAGGCACCAACUUUGUAGGAGCCAAGAAUGAGCUGAAAAAUGCUCUCAAGGAGAUUGAUGCUGAUCGUCUGACAGUGUUCUUAGCUGAAAAACAGUGCGAUUUUGUCCUAAAUGCGCCCCAUUCAAGUCAUGCUGGUGGGGUAUGGGAGAGACAAAUCAGAACAGUGAGGAAUGUUCUUCGCUCAACUCUCUCACUCUAUUCUGGCAGACUGGACGAUGCAUCACUGCGGACAUUCUUUUAUGAAGCUAUGGCGAUCGUAAACAGUAGACCACUCUCAGUUGAUAACUUAAACGACCCCAACAGUCUUGCACCUCUCACCCCUAAUAACCUGCUUACUAUGAAGUCUAUUCCAGCAUUACCACCACCAGGCAGAUUCAUCAGAGAAGACAUCUAUGCAAGGAAAAGGUGGCGUCAUGUUCAGUACCUUGCAGAGCAGUUUUGGAGUCGUUGGCGUAAGGAGUAUCUAUCCAACAUUGCCAUCAGACAGCGCUGGCACACAGUAAAGAGAAACCUGCAAGUAGGAGACAUUGUCAUGGAAAAGAUUGAUGAUCUGCCCAGAAAUGAGUGGCGGUUGGCCAGAGUUACAGAGACUACUACAGAUAAAGACGGGCUUGUGAGAAGAGUAAAAGUAUGCCUUGGUGACCGAAAUCUGGAAACGGAUGUUCGUCGCCUCAACAAGCUGUCUGUCAUUGAACGCCCAGUCCAGAAGCUGAUCCUGUUGCUAGAGACCGUCUAG